GACGAACGCUGGCGGCGUGCUUAACACAUGCAAGUCGAACGGAAAGGCCCUGCUUUUGUGGGGUGCUCGAGUGGCGAACGGGUGAGUAACACGUGAGUAACCUGCCCUUGACUUUGGGAUAACUUCAGGAAACUGGGGCUAAUACCGGAUAGGAGCUCCUGCUGCAUGGUGGGGGUUGGAAAGUUUCGGCGGUUGGGGAUGGACUCGCGGCUUAUCAGCUUGUUGGUGGGGUAGUGGCUUACCAAGGCUUUGACGGGUAGCCGGCCUGAGCGGGUGACCGGACACAUUGGGCCUGCGAUAGGGCGCAGUAUCCUACGGGAGGCAGCAGUGGGGAAUAUUGCACAAUGGGCGGAAGCCUGAUGCAGCAACGCCGCGUGCGGGAUGACGGGCUUCGGGUUGUAAACCGCUUUCGCCUGUGACGAAGCGUGAGUGACGGUAAUGGGUAAAGAAGCAACGGCUAACUACGUG
Molecule: ribosomal RNA, 468 nt
Filed under: uncultured bacterium
Lineage: Bacteria
Description: partial 16S ribosomal RNA
Rfam family: Bacterial small subunit ribosomal RNA
Source: RNAcentral